ACAGUGUUGUGCAAGGGUUAUUAAUUAGUUUAAUAGAUGUUAUCAAAGCUCACCGAUAGACUUGACAGAGACCAGACAAAGGUUAGGACAAUGUCAGUUAGGUGUUUGUCUUGUAGAGAGACUGAUAUGUGGGUCGGGACAGACAUUAGCAAUGUUAGUUUAGGCGUAGGCUAGAUACUCAGCCUAUAUAGAGUAGAGUUUGGGGCAAUCGGGACACAACGCCAUGUAGUUUUAGCAGGGGCGUGUGUCGUAUGCUAGGCGUUUUCUGGUGAACGACACAUACAGACAUUGGGAGCAAGUCGCCGAGGUUGGCUCGCGAUCUUGGCUCCAAGAUGUGUGAGUUGUUUGCCAGAGACAACAUGUAGGAACUUUAAUUCUUAAGGACCAGGAGUGACAGUCUUGGCGACUGUCUGAGUCUUAGUGACAGUCUGACGGUCAGAGACGGUAGAUCUAUAUAUGGUGUAUCCUUGCCUGCUACGCAAGGGGAUAUCACUCUAGUAUUGAGCGGACUGUGACGUUGGGUUCCAGGAUCCGUGCAGAGACUAGAGAGAGAGAGAGAGAGAGAGAGACAAGAGAAAUGGAGAGUUCAUCGUGACCUACAGCCAAGUAUCAAUAUCUAUGUGAUUAUUAAAUUUUAAUUCUAGAAUCACAUGAGUAUUAUAUGUAAUUAUAGUUGUUAAUUAAAUAUUUAUUUUUCUUAUGAAAAUUUGUGUCCAGAGAUCAUGAUUUAUAUCAUUAUUGAAUAUUGUGGUCUUUAAUCCAUAGUAUUUUGUGAUGCGUGUGUUGUAUCAGUUAAAUUACAUCAGUAAGAAUCAUCCUAGACGUAUAGACAUCAAGAGCUGAUAUCAAGAUCUUGACAAUUGGGGCCUCGUCUAAAGUUUUAUUUUAAUUUUUUUACGACACUUUAAUGAUGUCUGGGGGCUAAUGAAUAACUGGGACCUGUUAUUUUUCUUUAAGUGAAAAUACUUUGGUUAUACUUGAUAUAGUAUUGACUUUUUUUUUUAUCCAGCAUAGUAUUGAGAAAAUUGUAUUUUGCUUGUAAAGGUUUGGACGAAUAUUCACUGCUUAGAAUUAGCAUUAAGUAGAGUUUCUGUUUACACUUUUACACUUGUUGUAAUACCAUGAUUGUAUUUUUCAAAAUUUUUUUUUUUCUACAUUUUGUUUUCUGCCUAUUUUUGUUGUGGUACAGGUGAAUUGGCUGUUUGGCAGUGGACGUCACACAUGAUCUAUUUUUAGACUGUCACUCCUGAUUCCUGCGCCCAUUGUCUUGGGGCCUUCGUGUAUCCACGGUUUGAGGGUAACGUAGUUAUCUUCAGCGCGUGUUUUUUCAAUGUUUAGGUAAGCUGUAUGAUGUAGUGAGAUAGGUGUAAGUUUUCUUGUUUUUAUUUUUGAUAGGGAGCUUAGGGAUUUCAUAGAGGUGGGAUAGAAAGAGGUGGACAUUAUUUUUAAAGCAUAAUUACUGCACUGGGCAGUGUUACAUUUAUACUGUGCUUAUACUGUGUUUUUUGCAGGCAGACAGGGGCGAGUUAUUGUUUGGAGAAGGUAGAAGGGGGUUGGACCUGUAUGUUCGCGUUGGGCAAACGUAUAGUGUCGUUGUCCUCAGUUAUUUUUUUUUUCUUGCUUUUUAGCUUGUUAAGUUUUGUAGAUGGUUAGCCAGGUGAGCAGUACUGUUGGCCAGUUGUUUUUUUUGUUGCCAUUUUGGUGUUUUGAUAGGCGGGAUAGGGGGUUUGAGAGACAGACAAUGGCGUUGGGUCAUGUAGUGUCUACCCCACCCAUGUAUUUUAGUAAUGCCUAUCAAACCUUGUAGUUGUUAAUGGAAGUUUUGGAAUUUCGUUUCCAGUGCCAUGCCAGAGGGCAGGGACAUUUGUUUUUCUUCUCCCUCUUAGUUGAGGUCGAGCGUUGAUUUUUUUUACCUGGUGUGUCCUUGUUGUACGGAUUCAUGGUAGUUAAGUCACAGGGUGACGUAAUGAUUUUUUGUUGUUGCGGCAAGAGUUGUUUUUUUUUACAGUGGGUCUCGAGUUUUGUUGGGCCUGGUUUCAGUUUUUGUAUGCCGUCUAUUUUUUUAUUUUUUUUUGCUUGAACGUGUUGAUGAUAGUUGGCUAUAGCUCUAUAUAGAAUAUCCGACAUUAGGUAUGUCGUGGAUUUUUUUAUUUCAGUGAGAUGUUGCUGUGUUGACAGAUCAUCAGUUUAUCAAGGUCAUUUGAUUAGUUUGUUCAACGUUUGAUAUUACUAAGAUGUUAAAGUUUAGGCCUGACGAGCUUGAAUUGGUAUUGAUUUUUUUUACAUAGAUUUUUUUUUUUUUUUUUUUUUUGUUGGCAAAUAUUUGAGCUUUAGCUGAGUUAUGGCGAUUAAUGUACACGCUAUCUAGAUAGCUCAGAAAAUUGGCGUUUAGGGACAUUUGUAUCCAAGGUGGAACAUGAGUUGUUUGUUGAAGAGUCAAGUGAGUCCUUCUAAUGGGGGAGGGUGCAUAACAGACACUGAAGUAAAUGACAAAGCGUUGUUUUUUUUCUACGACAUGUGUGAUGGACACUGGCAAUGAGUACAGCCAUUUUACCAAUUUCUAUUUUAUUGCAGGGAUGCUAAUGAAUUUUGUAUUUUCAUUUUAUUAUCAUUAUGUUUUAGUUACUUAUAGAUUGAAUUACACUGUUCUAUAUUUAGGUCGAUCAAUAAUAUGCAAGUGUAGCUUACAAUCAGAAAAAAAUUGUCCAUGAUUAGAUGAUAUCAUUUUUCUUUCUUUUAGUUUUAUUUUAAUUCGUGUUUUACUUGCACUCGAGAUUUGAUUGGCAGAAUUGCAUUUUCACUUUGAUGUAUAUUUUUUUUUGUAAAUCUACUUGCAGAGAUUCAUGACUAUAUUAUUUGAUGAUUAAAGUUGAAGUUUGUGACAGUUGCAGUGCAGAUAUAUGAGAUGGCGAUGUUCACAUGUUUGUUUUGAUUUUUUUUUCUUCUUAAUUACAACCACUUUGUUUAUGAUUUUAUAAUCUUAUUCCAGUGUGCUACAGUUGCCUAAAGACUUUGGUUAGCAAUGCUGCAUGUGUUCUAUAACAUUAUUUUUAUGUCUCAAUAUAGUUCCAGAAUUUGUUCUCCAAAUGUGAGAUGGUAGAGGCAGUUUAGUGAGUCGUAUUAGUGUGACUUUGGUUGCAAAUAUUGCAACAAAAGUCAAAGGAGAAGGGGAAGAUGUCACAGUGUUGUGCAAGGGUUAUUAAUUAGUUUAAUAGAUGUUAUCAAAGCUCACCGAUAGACUUGACAGAGACCAGACAAAGGUUAGGACAAUGUCAGUUAGGUGUUUGUCUUGUAGAGAGACUGAUAUGUGGGUCGGGACAGACAUUAGCAAUGUUAGUUUAGGCGUAGGCUAGAUACUCAGCCUAUAUAGAGUAGAGUUUGGGGCAAUCGGGACACAACGCCAUGUAGUUUUAGCAGGGGCGUGUGUCGUAUGCUAGGCGUUUUCUGGUGAACGACACAUACAGACAUUGGGAGCAAGUCGCCGAGGUUGGCUCGCGAUCUUGGCUCCAAGAUGUGUGAGUUGUUUGCCAGAGACAACAUGUAGGAACUUUAAUUCUUAAGGACCAGGGUAAGAAGAAAUGUUUUUAUUAGUUAUAUAUCUAGUAUUAGAUGUUAAUUGAUUAUGAAUAAAUAGAAUGGCGCUUUAGCUAGUUGUUAGCGAUAUUUUUGAUUAUUUGUCUAUUUAGAGUGACAGUCUUGGCGACUGUCUGAGUCUUAGUGACAGUCUGACGGUCAGAGACGGUAGAUCUAUAUAUGGUGUAUCCUUGCCUGCUACGCAAGGGGAUAUCACUCUAGUAUUGAGCGGACUGUGACGUUGGGUUCCAGGAUCCGUGCAGAGACUAGAGAGAGAGAGAGAGAGAGAGAGACAAGAGAAAUGGAGAGUUCAUCGUGACCUACAGCCAAGUAUCAAUAUCUAUGUGAUUAUUAAAUUUUAAUUCUAGAAUCACAUGAGUAUUAUAUGUAAUUAUAGUUGUUAAUUAAAUAUUUAUUUUUCUUAUGAAAA
Biomphalaria glabrata is the source of this 4003-nucleotide long non-coding RNA. RefSeq lists it as uncharacterized. The record is from RefSeq and is a predicted model, not a curated record. NCBI's taxonomy places the organism in Eukaryota, Metazoa, Mollusca, Gastropoda, Planorbidae. The transcript is spliced from 2 exons.